UGGGGAAUAUUGCACAAUGGGCGCAAGCCUGAUGCAGCAACGCCGCGUGAACGAUGAAGGUCUUCGGAUCGUAAAGUUCUGUUGCAGGGGAAGAUAAUGACGGUAUCAUAGGAGGAAGCCCCGGCUAAAUACGUGCCAGCAGCCGCGGUAAUACGUAUGGGGCGAGCGUUGUCCGGAAUUAUUGGGCGUAAAGGGUACGUAGGCGGUCUAUUAAGUCAGGUGUGAAAGCGUGAGGCUUAACCUCAUUAAGCACUUGAAACUGAUAGACUUGAGUGAAGGAGAGGAAAGUGGAAUUCCCAGUGUAGCGGUGAAAUGCGUAGAUAUUGGGAGGAACACCAGUAGCGAAGGCGGCUUUCUGGACUGCAACUGACACUGAGGCACGAAAGCGUGGGUAGCAAACAGG
RNAcentral lists this ribosomal RNA (403 nucleotides) under Verrucomicrobiota bacterium. RNAcentral's name for it is "Verrucomicrobia bacterium partial 16S ribosomal RNA". It matches the Rfam family "Bacterial small subunit ribosomal RNA", at positions 355 to 776 of the family's 1533-position model. Lineage: Bacteria; Pseudomonadati; Verrucomicrobiota. The record is from RNAcentral.